Non-coding RNA from Mus musculus (house mouse), 69 nucleotides. The record is from Rfam. NCBI's taxonomy places the organism in Eukaryota, Metazoa, Chordata, Mammalia, Rodentia, Muridae.
AAGGUUUUAGCUUAAUUAAGGUAAUUGAUUUGCAUUCAAUAGAUUUAGGAUAGAGUCUUACAGUCCUUA